CUGCAAGUCGAACGGCAGCACGGGGGCAACCCUGGUGGCGAGUGGCGAACGGGUGAGUAACGCAUCGGAAUGUACCCAGUAGUGGGGGAUAACUAGUCGAAAGACUAGCUAAUACCGCAUACGCACUGAGGUGGAAAGCGGGGGAUCGCAAGACCUCGCGCUAUUGGAGCAGCCGAUGUCCGAUUAGGUAGUUGGUGGGGUAAAGGCCUACCAAGCCUGCGAUCGGUAACUGGUCUGAGAGGACGACCAGUCACACUGGGACUGAGACACGGCCCAGACUCCUACGGGAGGCAGCAGUGGGGAAUUUUGGACAAUGGGCGCAAGCCUGAUCCAGCAAUGCCGCGUGUGUGAAGAAGGCCUUCGGGUUGUAAAGCACUUUUGGCGGGAGCGAAACGGCGUUUGCUAAUACCAGGCGCUAAUGACG
RNAcentral lists this ribosomal RNA (424 nucleotides) under uncultured bacterium. RNAcentral's name for it is "bacterial SSU rRNA". It matches the Rfam family "Bacterial small subunit ribosomal RNA", at positions 55 to 474 of the family's 1533-position model. The record is from RNAcentral.